GAACUAAUGAUUUAUUUUGUCUUUUGCGUGUUGGGUCUUGCAAAAGAAAACUCUGAAAAUGCCAUUUCAGACCAUCUAGAGACUCCAGAUUUUCGAAAUUUUCUCAAAUGUUCUGCCUUCAUUUCCGCGCAACUGCCAUUUACGACGAAAAUUCCCGCCGCGCAUUUAUAAUACUACAGUCUGGCCCAUGCUUUCCUGUAAAUUUCGACAUACUAAAACGCUGUUCUCUGACUAUCAGAAUUCUGUUAAAUCUUCCCCCAAAGUCCAGGAAAUGGCAUUUUAGAGACUCUAAAUUUAAAAAUUUCCUCGGGCCUUCGGCCCUCGCUUUCAGCCCCCCCCAAUCGGAAAGAGCUUCCUACGGCCCUGUGACGUGACGUGACGCCGGCGCCAUUCUUUUUUACAAGAUUCCGCAGGCCCUCGCCAGAGUGUGUGUGACCUUCCCAUGACGCCACGAGGGCCUGCGGAGGAGGCAGACAUUGAUUUGUUGUCAUUUGCCCGUGUAUGCCCUGCUCCCCCGUUGGGGGAAGACAUUGAUAGGUGCAUAAGUGGAAUGGCUCGGUCACAAAUAUCAAG
Molecule: non-coding RNA, 573 nt
Organism: Paramuricea clavata
Lineage: Eukaryota; Metazoa; Cnidaria; Anthozoa; Malacalcyonacea; Plexauridae
Source: the annotation of a GenBank genome assembly